CCUGGCGGCACUAGCGCGGUGGUCCCACCUGACCCCAUGCCGAACUCAGAAGUGAAACGCCGUAGCGCCGAUGGUAGUGUGGGGUUUCCCCAUGCGAGAGUAGGGAACUACCAGGC
Molecule: ribosomal RNA, 116 nt
Filed under: Salmonella enterica subsp. arizonae serovar 63:g,z51:-
Lineage: Bacteria; Pseudomonadati; Pseudomonadota; Gammaproteobacteria; Enterobacterales; Enterobacteriaceae
Also listed under: 1 other name
Source: RNAcentral